RNAcentral lists this long non-coding RNA (2108 nucleotides) under Homo sapiens (human). Its description in RNAcentral is "HSALNT0291014". Lineage: Eukaryota; Metazoa; Chordata; Mammalia; Primates; Hominidae. The record is from RNAcentral.
CCGCCCCUGACUCCGUCUAGCCCCGCUCCGCGAGAAGAGGCUGAACUGCCCCAUCUGCUUCUAAUUUCUUUCUUUCUUUCUUUCUUUCUUUUUUUCCCCUCUUUUCCUUUUCUUCUUUUAAAUAUACGUUUGGAAAUUUGCCGGGCGUGGUGGCGGGCGCCUGUAAUCCCAGCUACUCGGGAGGCUGAGGCAGGAGAAUCGCUUGAAUCCGGGAGACGGAGGUUGCAGUGAGCCGAGAACGCGCCACUACACUCCAGCCUGGACGACGAGAGUGAUACUCCGUCUCAGUCAAUCAAUCAAUCAAUCAAUCGUUUGAUUUUCGUUUUAUGCUUUUACUUCCAAAUUUAUAUUUAUUGCAAAAAAUGUGGAAUAUAACAAAGUGUAAAGGUGAAACUGAAAUAACCCGAAAUUAUAUUUCCCCCUCUGUGGUUUUUUUUUUUCCGUCUCUGUGUUUUUCAAUGUUUUUCAGGCCUUCUGUCUUGAGCUCGUAUUACUGCUGUUCACUGAUGUAUUGUAAAAGCGUAAAACCGGACGUGACCCAAAUGUCUAUCAAAGGAGACUGAUGAGAGAAAUAAACGGAUUUGUUCACACAACGGCUUCUACAGCAAAGAAACAGAAGACGGAGUCUUGCUCUGUUGCCCAGACUGGAGUGCAGUGGUGCGAUCUUGGCUCACUGCAACCUCCGCCUCCCGGUUCAAGCGAUUCUUCUGCCUCAGCCUCCCGAGUAGCUGGGACUACAGGUGCCCGCCACCAUGCUCAGCUAAUUUUUGGAUUUUUAGUAGAGACGGGGUUUUACCAUAUUGGCCAGGCUGGUCUCGAACUCCUGACCUUGUGACCCACCCACCUCGGCCUCCCAAAUUGCUGGGAUUACAGGCAAGAGCCACCGCGCCCUGCCGAGAAUUUGCAUUUCUAACAAGUUCCCAGGUGAUGCUGACACUGCUGGCUCAUGGAACCACUGCUGUAGUAUUUUCCAAAUUAUCCUGAUUCUAAGAACCACCUAUGACCUGUGCUGUUUUUUCAGUGGUUACUGGCUCAUGUCACAUAAAUUCUUUUAGGAUUCAAACAUGUUUGUGAUAUUACUCAGUAUUUACAUCUUGCUUUUACUGCAGCAUGAUAGAAAAAUUAACCACAGGUAUAUCAUAACAAAAAGACCAUGAGUUACCAUUUUCACAAAGUUCAGAUAUAUUUAAAUUAGCCUAUUUAAUCUUUUUUUGGUUGUUGUUGAGAUGGAGUCUCACUCUGUCUCUCAGGCUGGAGUACAGUGGCACAAUCUCAGCUCACUGCAACCUCUGCCUCCCAGGUUCAAGUAAUUCUCCUGCCUCAGCCUCCCGAGUAGCGGGGAUUACAGGUGCCCAACACCACACAUGGCUAAUUUUUGUAUUUUUAGUAGAGAUGGGGUUUUGCCAUGUUAGCCAGGCUGGUCUUGAACUCCUGACCUCAGAUGAUCCGCCUGCCUCGGCCUCUCAAAGUGCUGGGAUUACAGGCAUGAGCCAUCGCACCCAGCCUAUGGUACACCUUUACUGAGGAAACAAUUCAGGAACAUCACUCUUAGUAAGGCAAUUGUUGAUUAUAAGUCAAAAAAACACCAUCAUGUACAAAUUCAGGGGAUUUUGUAUACCUUGUUUUUUUGGUUACAAAUAUGCAAAAUUAAAGAUGUUUGCUAAUACUUGUUUCCAAUUUUUAAACUUUUCAAGUGUUGCACUGUUAAUAAUGUUAAAAUAAAAGGCAUUUGACUUAGUAUGAUUGUUUCUUGAACUUCAUCUUUUCAGGUUAUUUUGUUGCUGGCCACUUGCAAGAUUUAUAGGCACUACUGAGGCCUCAGUGCUGAGAUUCAGCAACAUUAUAAUCAUUAUAAUUCAAAGUUUAGUUUUUUGUUUUUUGUUUUUUUUUUUAAAGAGAUGGGGUCAAAAUGCUGCCCAGGCAUGUCUGGAACUCCUGGGCUCAAGCAAUCGUCUUGCCUCAGACUGCCAAGUAGCUGAACUGUAGGCACAUACCACACCUGGCUGUGUUCAGUUUCAUGGGCAAGUCAAACUAUCUAGUGUUUUGUCUGUACAGACAAGGUCAAUGCGACUUCUCCAAGCUUUUAUCACUCAAUGGUCCUACAGGCC